CAUUAUUCCGUAAAGUUGUUGUCUGCUAUGGGUUGUGCAGCGGUAGUAAUAUAUCUAGUACUGAUAUAUUACACGUUAGCAAAACCGAUAGUGUUCACCUUCCAUUUUAUUCAUGG
This 116-nucleotide microRNA precursor is filed under the name Caenorhabditis remanei. The record is from RNAcentral. Lineage: Eukaryota; Metazoa; Nematoda; Chromadorea; Rhabditida; Rhabditidae.